AUUGAACGCUGGCGGCAUGCCUUACACAUGCAAGUCGAACGGUAACAGGUUAAGCUGACGAGUGGCGAACGGGUGAGUAAUAUAUCGGAACGUGCCCAGUCGUGGGGGAUAACGUAGCGAAAGCUACGCUAAUACCGCGUACGAUCUACGGAUGAAAGCGGGGGAUCGCAAGACCUCGCGCGAUUGGAGCGGCCGAUAUCAGAUUAGGUUGUUGGUGAGGUAAAAGCUCACCAAGCCUGCGAUCUGUAGCUGGUCUGGGAGGACGACCAGCCACACUGGAACUGAGACACGGUCCAGACUCCUACGGGAGGCAGCAGUGGGGAAUUUUGGACAAUGGACGCGAGUCUGAUCCAACAAUGCCGCGUGCAGGACGAAGGCCUUCGGGUUGUAAACUGCUUUUGUACGGAACGAAACGGUGAGCUCUAAUACAGUUUGCUAAUGACGGUACCGUAAGAAUAAGCACCGGCUAACUACGUGCCAGCCGCCGCGGUAA
This 493-nucleotide ribosomal RNA is filed under the name uncultured bacterium. Its description in RNAcentral is "partial 16S ribosomal RNA". It matches the Rfam family "Bacterial small subunit ribosomal RNA", at positions 30 to 523 of the family's 1533-position model. The record is from RNAcentral.